CGGGCCCCUUGGAGUGCCCCGGGAGGUGGUGCUGGGCGUCUGAACACCACAUCCCUUCCUGCGCCCGUGUGUGGGUUGGGAAUGCCGGGUGUAGGCCCUGGAUCAGAGCUGACGGGGUUGCGAGCGGCGUGGGGUGUGCCUGGGACGGUGACCGGAUGUGUCUUCCUGAAUCGUUGUAUUCGAGCUCCAGUUCUCUCUGUUUCUACAGCUGGGCCUCAGUCCUCACAGGGCUCUAGUGGGCGUUCAGCCACACCAGGAGAAGGCGCCCAGGGGAUUAACAGGACCCUUCCCUCUCCUGCUCUUCCCUCGCCCCCCAUGGCUCCCCCUCCCUCCUAUUUAGUAGGUACUUCUCCAGCACCCCACAGCGAUGAUGGAUGCUGGCCCUAAAGCCAGGCACUGCCGCCCUGCACUGUAGCAGAUGCCUAAAUAAAGUGUGGAGCCUGAAGCAGAAGUUUUGGGAGAUGCUUGCCUUCCUUUAGACCACAUUCCUCGCCUUUCUCAAGAUUUCUCCGUGGUACCCACCCCGUUUUUGUGUUGUCUUCCUUCCUUGCCCUUGUUUCAUUCCUUUUGAAAGCGACCACUCCCCUGAAGUCCUAGGACCCCCUUCGUGGGCUCUCCCUGCCGUAGACAGUCUCUGCUUGCCCCUGACCCAACAUGAGUGAAGUUUCCUGCAAGAAACGGGACGACUAUUUGGAAUGGCCAGAGUAUUUUAUGGCUGUGGCCUUCUUAUCAGCACAGAGAAGCAAAGAUCCAAAUUCCCAGGUCGGCGCCUGCAUCGUGAAUUCAGAAAACAAGAUUGUCGGGAUUGGGUACAAUGGGAUGCCAAAUGGGUGCAGUGAUGACGUGUUGCCUUGGAGAAGGACAGCAGAGAAUAAGCUGGACACCAAAUACCCGUACGUGUGCCAUGCGGAGCUGAAUGCCAUCAUGAACAAAAAUUCGACCGAUGUGAA
Molecule: long non-coding RNA, 950 nt
Filed under: Homo sapiens (human)
Lineage: Eukaryota; Metazoa; Chordata; Mammalia; Primates; Hominidae
Description: HSALNT0081663
Source: RNAcentral